Molecule: ribosomal RNA, 440 nt
Filed under: uncultured bacterium
Lineage: Bacteria
Description: bacterial SSU rRNA
Rfam family: Bacterial small subunit ribosomal RNA
Source: RNAcentral
CCUANGGGUGGCUGCAGUAACGAAUCUUCCGCAAUGCACGAAAGUGUGACGGAGCGACGCCGCGUGUGGGACGAAGUCCUUCGGGAUGUAAACCACUGUCAGGGGUUAGAAAGUUCUGAUCAACCCCAGAGGAAGGCACGGCUAACUCUGUGCCAGCAGCCGCGGUAAGACAGAGGUGCCAAGCGUUAGGCGGAAUCACUGGGCUUAAAGCGUGUGUAGGUGGAUGUCUAAGUACCUUGUGAAAUCCCACGGCUCAACCGUGGAACUGCUGGGUAUACUGGAUGUCUUGAGCCAACUAGGGGCAGCCGGAACAAACGGUGGAGCGGUGAAAUGCGUAGAUAUCGUUUGGAACGCCAACGGUGAAAACAGGCUGCUGGGGUUGUACUGACACUGAGACACGAAAGCCAGGGGAGCAAACGGGAUUAGAUACCCCANUANUC